Molecule: long non-coding RNA, 273 nt
Organism: Sciurus carolinensis (gray squirrel)
Lineage: Eukaryota; Metazoa; Chordata; Mammalia; Rodentia; Sciuridae
Exons: 3
Source: RefSeq, a predicted model, not a curated record
UGGGCUUUAGAAUUUGUUUAGAGAAGCAGUGAAAACCUUGACUUCCUUUUAGCAGAAGCACAAUUUUAUUAAUCUGAGACCCACCACCCAGGUUUGAAUCAUUAACAUUUACCUUGAGUUUCAGGAGAGAAGAUCAAGAUCCACAGUGUUGAACCAGAUGGUGUGAGGAUCUGUGGAAGGUGCUGGCAGCUUUGCUCCCUGAAGAUUGUCUUUGAGAUCUGUUGCUUCAAAUGAAGCUCCCUGGGGUGGGGAUUUAUUCUGUUAUUUCCUCAG